Carassius auratus (goldfish) is the source of this 1874-nucleotide long non-coding RNA. RefSeq lists it as uncharacterized. The transcript has 5 exons. The record is from RefSeq and is a predicted model, not a curated record. Lineage: Eukaryota; Metazoa; Chordata; Actinopteri; Cypriniformes; Cyprinidae.
GGUGUAGUUAAAUUUAAAUACUAGUUUUAUGGUAAAAUUACUGAAAGUAUUAUGUUUAUAUAGUAAAAAUAAGAAAGUUUCAUUGCAUUAAAUUAAUAGUAUAAUAUUUCAAGUCUACAAAAUGUCACAGAUUUAAACCAACUUAACCAGAUCAUUUUAAACCUACUAGCAGUUGAAGAUUGUCCCAAAGCGCUUUCCGUACUUGCAAUUUCGCACAUGCACGGGAGGAAGCAAGAAGCAUCCAUUUUCCAUCUGCCCUUGGCCAAUUUUUUUAAAUCCGUUAUCAUCCAUAAAUUAUUUGGCUCUGAAUGUGGAGGUGCAAGCAGUGUCCUGAAAGUGAAUCUACAAGGACUACAGAACAAGUAAUAUUGAAAAAGAAGAAAAACCAACAGGUAAUCAAAAGUAAAAUGGAAGGAACCUUUGCCUAUAGAAGACAGGAAGUUGUUGGAAGAUAUGCCCUUCAUAGCAGAGUUCAAAAACAGAUGGCCAGGCCUGUUUUCUGAGAGCCAGGUAAAUGCAGAAUUCACCCUCAUCACCACUAAACCCUUAUGUCCCGACUGGAUCAUUACUAUAGCCAGCUAUUGAGGGUAUUUAAAAAGAAGUGGGGAACAGCAAGACGUGAUAUCGACGUAAUCAUCGCAGAAAUGGACAUGAAUCCCAGUGUUGAAGUAUGACGGACAUGCAUCCUAAAGGCGUUGUGCGUCUACUUAAUUGAAAAGCCUGUGUUCUCUAAUUGUAAACUUAACAUCUUUUGGGUUUGUUUCUAGUGUCAUAGAUGCAUAAUUAAUAAUGGGUCUCUUUCUUUGUCAUAGGCUACUGAGGAUAUUGGUAUUGAUGCAAUGAUGGAAAUGGAGAGACUGGCUUUGGGUGUCUACAUUGUUCGAUAUGAUGGAGCAGAUGCUUCAGAUCCACCUGAGGAUGUUGGCGUCGUCAUUGAAGGCUGCACAGUGCUGCGAGAUCUGAGAGAGGUUGCAAAUGGAUGUGCAGUCCUGUUUGGCUUGAUUCUGUUUAAACUGAGCUAUCCAAAGGAGCUGCAAUAAACAUUCGAAUUUCUUAAGAAAGUGUUUAUGGAAUUGGAUGGGAACAAGCUCUCCACUAAAGUGCAAGGUCCUCAAAAACAAACUGCAUGAGUAAAAUCACCUGCACCAGACAAGACUGGACCCGGCUUUGGACACUUUAGUUGUGUUUACUGUUACUUUAUUUUUGGACUGCUGCUUGACAAAAUAAAGCUAUAAUCAAUGAUGGUUUGUAAUAAGCAGACAGGACUGCAGUUGGUCAUCGACUUGCUUGGGGAGGCUCAGUUCUUUGGAUUUUGGACUGCUGCUAGACAAAACAUCUAGCAAUCUAAAGACAAUGUUGGUUGUUGUAAUUGGCAUUUAAACUUCUCUUGUUUCUGAUUUCUUCAGAAUCAAAAGAUGUGAAAUACAACAAACACUGGUUAUAAUGAAACCAUCUCAAACAAUUUAAGGUGAAGAUUGUUUUUUUGUUACGUAAACAUUGCUGAUUUUCUAUUUCUCCUUUUAAUGCAAACUAUAAACCUUGUAUUUUUCAUAAAAAUGUUCUUGAUAAGUCAGCAGGUAUGUAAAGUCUGAACAUAGUAUGUUCUAACGGUGAAGUGAGAAUUUUUCUGCAGCAUAAAUCCUCUUGAUUUUAAACUUCAGUUAAUUUAACCUCCCUCCAUAUAGAAAACAAGGAUUUGCCUCUUUAGUUUUAAUUUCAGUAGGCAACACCUGUUAGACAUUGUUGACGUCAAAGUUCCAAUUUACUAUAAAGCUAUAUUGGGAUUGAACAUUAUCAGAUGGUGAAGAUUCACAAACAAGUUUUAUAUUUUUGAAUUAUUAUUUAUAUUGGUCUAUUUGCAUUUUAUACGUGGA